Non-coding RNA from Saimiri boliviensis boliviensis (Bolivian squirrel monkey), 3784 nucleotides. NCBI's taxonomy places the organism in Eukaryota, Metazoa, Chordata, Mammalia, Primates, Cebidae. The record is from RefSeq and is a predicted model, not a curated record.
GAGGGGGCGGGGUCGUGAACCGGCAGCCGCCGGGUGGAGGGCCCUGGUCGGCGACUGCGGAGAGGGCUCACCGCCGACGGGGUCCAGCGAGCUGUUGGGGACAGGCCGAGUCCACGUGCCGGCAGAAUGUCCCUGGCUGCUUAUUGUGUCAUCUGUUGCAGAAGGAUAGGAACCUCUACUUCCCCACCAAAAAGUGACACAUACUGGAGAGAUAUCAGAAAUAUAAUAAAGUUUACUGGAUCACUUAUUUUAGGAGGUUCUUUAUUUCUUACAUAUGAAGUUCUGGCACUGAAGAAGGCUCUGACAUUAGAUACUCAAGUGGUAGAAAGAGAAAAAAUGAAGUCAUAUAUAUAUGUGCACACGGUUUCUUUAGAUAAAGGAGAAAAUCAUGGUAUUGCCUGGCAGGCAAGAAAAGAACUUCACAAAGCAGUAAGAAAGGUAUUGGCAACGUCAGCCAAGAUACUACGGAAUCCAUUUGCUGAUGCUUUUAGUACAGUUGAUGUAGAAGAUCAUGAAUGUGCUGUGUGGCUGCUCCUACGGAAGAGCAAGUCAGAUGACAAAAUGGCGCGACUGGAGGCUGUGCGGGAAAUGUCAGAGACCCAUCACUGGCAUGAUUACCAGUAUAGGAUAAUUGCUCAAGCCUGUGAUCCGAAAACUCUUAUUGGUUUGGCACGAAGCAAAGAGAGUGAUCUUCGCUUUUUUCUCCUACCACCUCCUUUGCCGUGUUUAAAAGAAGAUUCUUCAACUGAAGAGGAGCUCAGACAGUUGCUGGCUUCCUUACCUCAAACAGAGGUAGAUGAGUGUAUCCAGUAUUUUACAUCUUUGGCUCUUAGUGAAAGCAGUCAGAGUCUGGCUGCUCAGAAGGGUGGUUUAUGGUGUUUUGGAGGAAAUGGACUUCCUUAUGCUGAAAGUUUUGGAGAAGUUCCUUCAGCAACAGUGGAAAUGUUCUGUUUAGAAGCUAUAGUAAAACAUUCUGAGAUAGCCACACAUUGUGAUAAAAUAGAAGCAAAUGGAGGCCUGCAACUACUUCAGAGGCUAUAUCGACUUCACAAGGACUGCCCUAAAGUACAGAGAAAUAUAAUGCGUAUCAUUGGAAACAUGGCUUUGAAUGAACAUCUUCAUUCUUCUAUAGUUCGCUCAGGCUGGGUUUCCAUCAUGGCAGAAGCAAUGAAAUCUCACCACAUUAUGGAGGCUUCACAUGCUGCCAGAAUCCUGGCAAAUCUAGAUCGAGAAACUGUGCAAGAAAAAUACCAGGAUGGCGUGUAUGUGCUGCAUCCCCAGUAUCGAACGAGUCAGCCCAUUAAAGCAGAUGUCCUUUUUAUUCAUGGCCUUAUGGGAGCAGCAUUCAAAACAUGGCGCCAGCAGGACAGUGAGCAGGCUGUAAUUGAAAAGCCUAUAGAGGAUGAAGACAGAUAUACGACAUGUUGGCCCAAGACAUGGUUAGCAAAAGACUGUCCUGCUCUUCGAAUUAUAUCUGUGGAGUAUGACACCAGCCUGAGCGACUGGAGAGCAAGGUGCCCUAUGGAAAGAAGGUCCAUUGCAUUCAGAAGCAACGAACUUCUCCGGAAGCUCAGAGCUGCUGGUGUUGGGGAUAGGCCGGUGGUUUGGAUAUCACAUAGCAUGGGAGGGCUUCUUGUCAAAAAGAUGCUGUUGGAAGCCUCUAAGAAGCCAGAAAUGAGUACUGUUAUCAACAAUACCAGAGGAAUAAUUUUUUAUAGCGUCCCUCAUCAUGGAUCACAUUUGGCUGAAUACUCUGUUAAUGUUCGCUAUCUUCUCUUUCCCUCUUUGGAAGUCAAAGAACUCAGCAAAGAUUCUCCUGCACUUAAAAAGCUGCAAGAUGACUUUCUGGAGUUUGCUAAAGACAAAAACUUCCAGGUGCUGAAUUUUGUGGAAACACUACCAACUUACAUUGGCAGCAUGAUUAAGCUCCAUGUGGUGCCUGUGGAAUCAGCAGAUUUAGGCAUUGGAGAUCUAAUUCCUGUGGAUGUUAACCAUUUGAACAUUUGUAAGCCAAAGAAAAAGGAUGCUUUUUUGUACCAACGUACUUUACAAUUCAUCCGUGAAACUUUAGCCAAAGACCUUGAAAACUAACAGUUGUCCUCUUCCAAUUUUCGUAUGUGAGUUCAAUGCAAGAAACUUGUUGUUCUAUUUCUCUUUUUAAGCUCUAAGCAAUCAUGCAAACAUAGUGAUCAUAGUGUCAACAUGGUCUGGAGUGUGUUGCAGAUUACAGAACAUUGUUCUCCCUUCGAGCGCUAUAAAGCACCAACCCGGAAAUGGCAGACACAGAAGGAAGGGCUGGAUUGGGUUCCUUUGGUAUACAGGAGUCCCUUUGUGCCAUUUUAUGGUUCCGAGUUUUGGGCUUGGUGACUAGAGCAAAGCUGCUGUGAUAGAGUGUCCUUUUCCAUCUGUGAUUCCUGCUGCAUCCAGGAAGGGCACGGCAGGUUCCAAGGGGAGAGCCACCAUUAACUCAACUUACCAUAAAAAUGCUAGUAGGAGAGUACCUAAAAUGGAGAGAAGAAUGAACGAGAACAUUCAAGACUGUCUUAGCUCUGGGUAUUGAUUUGAGGUAAAUUUUUAAAACGUGUCAAUUUUUUCCUCAUUUCUACCCUUUAUCUGACACAUUAUUACUGGUGUUAACUUUGCUAGACCUAUUCUCAUGCAUGGGUCAGUUCCUUGUAUCUCUUUUAAUAUUGCUGAGAACAAAUCUUUUUCUCUUUUAGAAAAAUUUUAGCUUAUAAUAACUCUUUCUAGGCUGUAGUUACCUAUGCUUGGAAUUUGGCCUAGAUAAGGAUAAAGUAGCUAAUCCAUUAUUCAUCAGAGUAUGAAAUAAAACUAUUCUCAGCUAUUAUAUGGAUUAGCAAUUCGUAGUAUCAGGAUUCUCAGAUUCCCUUUGGCUAAAUAAACCUUUUUUCUUUGCUCCUUUGUAAGUGGUGUUAAUUGACCUCUAUAGCAUGGGAGAAGUAGGAAAUCAUGUUGAUGACUUUUUUUUCUUUAGAGUAACAGCAUUAUUGAGGUAUAAUUUACAUACCAUAAGAGUCACUGUUUUAAAGUGUACAAUUCAUUGGGUUUUUUUGUUUGUUUGUUUAGAGACAUGGUCUCACUCUGUUGCCCAGGCUGGAGUACAGUGGCAUGAUCAUAGCUCAUUGUAACCACAAACUCCUGGGCUCAAGAGAUCCUUUUGCUUCAGCCUCCCAAGCAGCUAGGAUUACAGGCACAUGCCACCACACCUGGCUAAUUAAAAAAAAAAAAAAAAAAAUUUUUUUUUGUAGGGACAGGGUCUCACCAUGUUGCCCAGGCCUCAAACUCCUGGUCUCAAGCCAUCCUCCUGCCUCAGCCUCCCAAAGUGCUAUGAUUAUAGGUCUGAGCCACUCUGCGCAGCCUCAGUUCAGUGGUUUUUAGUAUAGUUCACUGAGUUGUGCAACAUCAUUGCUAUCUAAUUUCAGAAUAUUUCAUCUUUCCCAGAAGAAUUAGAGAAUUCCCAUACCCAUUAGCAGUCAUUUCCCACCGCUGCUUUCCCCAGCCUGUGGUAAACACUAAUCUAUUUGCUGUCUCUAUGGAUUUGGGCAUUUUAUGUAAAUGGAAUCAUACAAUAUAUGGCCCUCUCUGCCUUCCAUUAGCAUGUUUUCAAGGUUCAUUUAUGAUAUAGCAUGUAUCAGUAUGUCAUUGCUUUUUAUGGCCAAAGUUACUCCACUGUAUGAUAUGCCAUGUUUCUUUAUCCAUUCAUCAGCUAAUGGACAUGUAGGUUCUAUUCAUUUUUUGUCCAUGAUAAAUAAUGCUACCAUGA